This 256-nucleotide ribosomal RNA is filed under the name uncultured bacterium. RNAcentral's name for it is "partial 16S ribosomal RNA". It matches the Rfam family "Bacterial small subunit ribosomal RNA", at positions 98 to 354 of the family's 1533-position model. The record is from RNAcentral.
CGGGACGGGUGAGUAACGCGUGGAGAACCUGCCGUAUACUGGGGGAUAACACUUAGAAAUAGGUGCUAAUACCGCAUAAGCGCACAGCUUCGCAUGAAGCAGUGUGAAAAACUCCGGUGGUAUACGAUGGAUCCGCGUCUGAUUAGCUGGUUGGCGGGGUAACAGCCCACCAAGGCGACGAUCAGUAGCCGGCCUGAGAGGGUGAACGGCCACAUUGGGACUGAGACACGGCCCAAACUCCUACGGGAGGCAGCAG